AGUGAACGCUGGCGGUAGGCCUAACACAUGCAAGUCGAACGGCAGCACAGUAAGAGCUUGCUCUUACGGGUGGCGAGUGGCGGACGGGUGAGGAAUACAUCGGAAUCUACUUUUUCGUGGGGGAUAACGUAGGGAAACUUACGCUAAUACCGCAUACGACCUACGGGUGAAAGCAGGGGAUCGUCGGACCUUGCGCGAUUGAAUGAGCCGAUGUCGGAUUAGCUAGUUGGCGGGGUAAAGGCCCACCAAGGCGACGAUCCGUAGCUGGUCUGAGAGGAUGGUCGGCCACACUGGAACUGAGACACGGUCCAGACUCCUACGGGAGGCAGCAGUGGGGAAUAUUGGACAAUGGGCGCAAGCCUGAUCCAGCCAUACCGCGUGGGUGAAGAAGGCCUUCGGGUUGUAAAGACCUUUUGUUGGGAAAGAAAAGCAGCAGGUUAAUACCCCGCUGUUCUGACGGUACCCAAAGAAUAAGCACCGGCUAACUUCGUG
Molecule: ribosomal RNA, 492 nt
Filed under: uncultured bacterium
Lineage: Bacteria
Description: partial 16S ribosomal RNA
Rfam family: Bacterial small subunit ribosomal RNA
Source: RNAcentral